AGACGCUAUAGAUUUAAUUUCUAAUAAAUUUUCGGAGCACAAUUCCGUAAUGUUGAAUGACUUUCCUGUUUUUUUUUUUUUUUUUUUUUCAAUUCAGAUUGCACCAAUGAAUGAUUCCGCCAUGUACAUUAGGCCACCCUUCAGCUGUCGUUUCACUUGGCGCUCAAUUAAUGAGUGCGCAGAAUCUCCCUCAUUUUGCAUGUGGCCUUUGAUCAGAUAUUUAUGGAUUAUGCUUUUUAUGUUGAGAUGAGAUACAGCGUAGAGCUAGAGUGCAACCAUGAACUUAUUUUUCUGCUGGCCCAUGCAAUUAUCAGAAUAAAAAACGAAGUCUUUGUCCCCUGAAUCAGCUCAUUUAUUCAAAAACCAAAGAACGCACGAACCUAAUUCGUUAAUCCCUCUGUGUCCAUGGGAUUCAUUCCAAACAAAACAUUCGCAUUUGUUACUCUUCAGAUCGUAAAUUGUAAAAUUAAAUACAUUUAAUUUAGACUUAUACUAAAACACAGAGACAUCUCCCUUGGGAAUUUGCAUAACGGCUUGUAAGUCGUACACCACCACUGCAGCAUUGAGUUACUCCUUAUCAUACUUCUUUUCUUGACAAUUCUUUCUCCACUAAAUGCCAAUCAUAAAAUUCUUUUUUCUUCUCUUUUUCUUCUCCUUCAGCAUUAUCAUAGGCACUUCAUGUUUCACAUAAGUCUUUUUUUGGCGUAAAGAAUGAGAUGAUAAAAUCCUCCUGUAAAAAUCUGAUAAAACAUUACGUAGUUUACAAACGGAAUGUUUUUUUCUUUACAGUCAGUAAUGUAGUCUGUGUGGAUAUCCGCAAUAGUUUUGCUCCCUUCAAUAAAAUAUUUACUGAUAUUGGCACGCGUAUAAUGCCUUUCGAUUUUUGGGAUUUUUCUCGAUAAAGUUCUUUACACUUUUCUUUAAAACAUCAUCAACUUUUUUAUGUUUGCCAUGUUUCCCUCGCUGAUCUUUCUCCAGUAGAACAGUUGCCACCUUGUUGUGUUUCUCCUGUACCGUCUGAAUUGGGUGAUCAUUUAUAUCUAACAUGUUCUUAAAAAAUAAUUUGCAUACUCAGACUUUCUGUUCUUUAUGAUGGAAAUAGAAGGCAUUAUUAUUGUCUCUUUUCUUCCUGGUACCAUCGACACGUACAUACUGAUAUUUAGGUUGAAUGGGCUCAGUAUUAUUAGCAAUAAAUUGUUGUUGUUUUGCUAAAUCACCCAACUCCCAAUAUGAAGUAAAAAUCUGCAUCCAUUCCUCCUUAGUGAAUUUUGUGGAACAUUUCACCUUACACUUUUCCGUACACGGAGGUCCCAGUUUUCUCUCUUCUCAGACUUUGUCUAUGUUGUGCAUUUUGUAUAUCUUUCCACUCUUUCGAAACUUCUUAUUAGGUUCCUUAACCAGGUAUUCUCAUUUCUUUUAUGCUUCACUCCUUUCUUAAGUGGACUUGUUAAGAUCAUCGAAGACAGAGUGUUGGAAAAACUAGAUGUAUUCGGAGUGGAUCCAAAAGAAGGAUAAAUGGAAGUACCAGUAGUUGAAGGAGUAUCGAUAUCGGCGUUAUUGGCAUUGCAAUUACCAUUGUUUGAUUUAGCUUUGCCAUCCACCUUUGCUGUCACUGCUAACAUUGGGCGGUACAUACGUUUUAUCCAGAUCCGAAUCGUCAUUAUCUUCGGAAAAUGAACUGGAACUUGAUGAAGAACCUGAUCUCGAUGCAACAGAUGAGCUUCUAGAAGUAUUAUCCGUAAUCUCCAAGCUCGUUACUGAUUGGGUAGCAGCAGCUAAUACAUCUCCUUAAAAAUAAUAAUGUUGCAUUAAAUUAUAGAACUCACUGUUACAGAAUAAAAUAUAAUAAAUAAAUAAAUAUAAUUUAUUAAAAAAAACAGGGAAAAUAUAUCUAUCUAUAAGUGGGAAGAAACUAAAUAAAUAACACACCACUUUCUACUGAAGGAUCUUUCCUAGAUGUCAAAUUGGUAUUUUGUUCUGUAGAAGGAUCUGAGGACAUAUGCUUUAUCUGCCAUUCUUCCAUGUUACCAUUGCUUCUUUAUAGCGACCAACAACAUUUUUGCUCCUCGACUAUUUGAUUGCAUGAUUCUCUCACUGGAAAUAAAAUUAUAUUAUGAGGUAAACAAUAAUGUCUGAUUCAUAAUAAUUGCCGCAAGUCCAUUCGAUGGUUAUAAAAUAUUACUUUACAGUAAGUUAUUACAACAAUACUGACAUAAACGAAAAUAAUUCAGAGUAGAAUAUGAGUAUUAAAAACUAUUUAGUGCAAGACUGUCAUAACAGCAUAUACUUCUAAAACUUACGUUUAAGAAACGACUGCUUUUCAUUGUAAUAACAUCUUAAAAUCAAAUAGUACCACAAUAAACACAAUACUUUUUUGCAAGAACGUCAUAUCGGUAAAUAAGUCAAACAUAACACAUUCCAAUUUUUACAUGUACAACGUCAUAUCUUAAAAUAAUACAUUUACACAUAAUAAAGAAAAAGAAAAUGGUCUUAUCUUUGCAUUAAUAUGGUCACAACUCGAGAUAUGUCACUGUUCUACAGAACUUAACACAGCUGAGUAACAUAACAGCCGACUCACAACUGAGAUAAUACAGUAUUGCAAGUAACACACUGGAUGAAUCGAAGUUUCACCAAAACAACACUUAACACUCUACUACUUAAAAGAUCACAUCAUUGCAAUUGUCUCUGUGGGAUUAACUCAAAAAUCACAUUUUCGAGUUAUGACAUUGUUGCAACAAAUGAGUGAUAUUAUAAAUCUGAAAUGCUUGCACAUUCUUUUCACUUAUAAUGCAAGAACAGUUAAAUUGAUUUUUAUGAAAUAACUUAAAUAUUUCCUGAUGCUCUCCAUUUAAGAUUAUGACUGUACUAUAGUGGGG
RNAcentral lists this long non-coding RNA (2876 nucleotides) under Androctonus crassicauda. Lineage: Eukaryota; Metazoa; Arthropoda; Arachnida; Scorpiones; Buthidae. The record is from RNAcentral.